UAAUAUUAAAUUCAGAAGCUUGUGACAAGUUUCAUCUCGUUUGGAAUCGUUGGAUGUAACGACGGCAACUUCUGGAAUGCUACGAUAUUCUCCAACGCGCGCGUCACGAUACCCGAAACGAAGAUGAACUACGUGAAAUACGCAUCAAACGACGAGUGGAAACUUGAAGAUGAUACACCUGGCAUAUAUACCCUGCCCUCGUGGAAGUGUCUCUUUGUGACCUCCUAUGCGUCUUGUUCACUUCACAUCCUUGUUGUCACCAUGAAGCGAUAACUAUCGCAGAAUGUAAUUUAUGUUUGUUAGUUGAACUUUACUUGAAUGUUUAUUAGUUUUAACAUACGUUCCGUAGAGUAUAACGGGAGAUGGAGAGAAGUUUGAGAAAGUAAAAUAAACAAAUGUACAUAUAUUUGCUCAUACUUCAAUAUCUCAUUUUACUACCAAAGUACUUCACAGUAUUACCAAAUGACCUGAAACUUAAUUUACUUGGACUUAAUUAUGAGUGGACUUUAUUGGACUUUAUUAUGAGAUAUGUAUAAUUUUAUGUGCUAGACUAGGUUAGCUGCGUAGUAGUGAUACUUGUAUGUGAAUAUCAGUGUGUGGAAGUAUGUGUGUGCGCAGCAUCUCGAAAACAAAGGAAUGUAAACUGUUCAGUCGGUUAACAGUCGGGUAUGGAAGAAAGUGAGACGCGUGCGAGUGUGUAUCGAUGAAUAUCUUUGAAAUCGCUUAUCAAAUAAAUAUAUAACUAUUUUAAUACAAAUUCUAAGAGUAAAUUUAGUGUUCCUAUACCAUUAUUUCGGC
This 798-nucleotide unclassified non-coding RNA is filed under the name Bombus terrestris (buff-tailed bumblebee). RNAcentral's name for it is "misc RNA ENSBTSG00005035657.1". Lineage: Eukaryota; Metazoa; Arthropoda; Insecta; Hymenoptera; Apidae. The record is from RNAcentral.